Molecule: long non-coding RNA, 339 nt
Organism: Erinaceus europaeus (western European hedgehog)
Lineage: Eukaryota; Metazoa; Chordata; Mammalia; Eulipotyphla; Erinaceidae
Exons: 3
Source: RefSeq, a predicted model, not a curated record
CUAUCCCCAGCUCAAGCAGGGGCUUCUGCUUCUGCACAGCUGGCCAGCAUUUGAUGACCCAGAGCCCCUCUGCAGGCUGGGGUCACGCUGGGAGCAAAGUGUUGGCCCUAUCCCCAGCUCAAGCAGGGGCUUCUGCUUCUGCACAGCUGGCCAGCAUUUGAUGACCCAGAGCCCCUCUGCAGGCUGGGGUCACGCUGGGAGCAAAGUGUUGGCCCUAUCCCCAGCUCAAGCAGGGGCUUCAGCUUCUGCACAGCUGGCCAGCAUUUGAUGACCCAGAGCCCCUCUGCAGGCUGGUGAGUGCCCACAACCGCAGCCCCUGGUGACAGCCCCCACACUGAG